This 91-nucleotide transfer RNA is filed under the name Gammaproteobacteria bacterium ESL0073. RNAcentral's name for it is "tRNA-Ser". It matches the Rfam family "tRNA". Rfam says of the family: Transfer RNA (tRNA) molecules are approximately 80 nucleotides in length. Their secondary structure includes four short double-helical elements and three loops (D, anti-codon, and T loops). Further hydrogen bonds mediate the characteristic L-shaped molecular structure. tRNAs have two regions of fundamental functional importance: the anti-codon, which is responsible for specific mRNA codon recognition, and the 3' end, to which the tRNAs corresponding amino acid is attached (by aminoacyl-tRNA synthetases). tRNAs cope with the degeneracy of the genetic code in two manners: having more than one tRNA (with a specific anti-codon) for a particular amino acid; and 'wobble' base-pairing, i.e. permitting non-standard base-pairing at the 3rd anti-codon position. Lineage: Bacteria; Pseudomonadati; Pseudomonadota; Gammaproteobacteria. RNAcentral also lists the same sequence under 4 other names. The record is from RNAcentral.
GGAAGUGUGGCUGAGUUGGUUUAAAGCACCGGUCUUGAAAACCGGCGAGGGUUAACGCCCUCCCAGAGUUCGAAUCUCUGCGCUUCCGCCA